AGAGUUUGAUCCUGGCUCAGGACGAACGCUGGCGGCGUGCCUAAUACAUGCAAGUCGAGCGAGCUUGCCUAGAUGAUUUUAGUGCUUGCACUAAAUGAAACUAGAUACAAGCGAGCGGCGGACGGGUGAGUAACACGUGGGUAACCUGCCCAAGAGACUGGGAUAACACCUGGAAACAGAUGCUAAUACCGGAUAACAACACUAGACGCAUGUCUAGAGUUUGAAAGAUGGUUCUGCUAUCACUCUUGGAUGGACCUGCGGUGCAUUAGCUAGUUGGUAAGGUAACGGCUUACCAAGGCAAUGAUGCAUAGCCGAGUUGAGAGACUGAUCGGCCACAUUGGGACUGAGACACGGCCCAAACUCCUACGGGAGGCAGCAGUAGGGAAUCUUCCACAAUGGGCGAAAGUCUGAUGGAGCAACGCCGCGUGAGUGAAGAAGGGUUUCGGCUCGUAAAGCUCUGUUGGUAGUGAAGAAAGAUAGAGGUAGUAACUGGCCUUUAUUUGACGGUAAUUACUUAGAAAGUCACGGCUAACUACGUGCCAGCAGCCGCGGUAAUACGUAGGUGGCAAGCGUUGUCCGGAUUUAUUGGGCGUAAAGCGAGUGCAGGCGGUUCAAUAAGUCUGAUGUGAAAGCCUUCGGCUCAACCGGAGAAUUGCAUCAGAAACUGUUGAACUUGAGUGCAGAAGAGGAGAGUGGAACUCCAUGUGUAGCGGUGGAAUGCGUAGAUAUAUGGAAGAACACCAGUGGCGAAGGCGGCUCUCUGGUCUGCAACUGACGCUGAGGCUCGAAAGCAUGGGUAGCGAACAGGAUUAGAUACCCUGGUAGUCCAUGCCGUAAACGAUG
This 843-nucleotide ribosomal RNA is filed under the name uncultured bacterium. RNAcentral describes it as "bacterial SSU rRNA". It matches the Rfam family "Bacterial small subunit ribosomal RNA", at positions 8 to 811 of the family's 1533-position model. The record is from RNAcentral.